Molecule: ribosomal RNA, 696 nt
Filed under: uncultured bacterium
Lineage: Bacteria
Description: bacterial SSU rRNA
Rfam family: Bacterial small subunit ribosomal RNA
Source: RNAcentral
UAACGCGUGAGGAACCUGCCUCAAAGAGGGGGACAACNGUUGGAAACGACUGCUAAUACCGCAUAAGCCCACAGCUCGGCAUCGAGCAGAGGGAAAAGGAGCAAUCCGCUUUGAGAUGGCCUCGCGUCCGAUUAGCUAGUUGGUGAGGUAACGGCCCACCAAGGCGACGAUCGGUAGCCGGACUGAGAGGUUGAACGGCCACAUUGGGACUGAGACACGGCCCAGACUCCUACGGGAGGCAGCAGUGGGGAAUAUUGCACAAUGGGGGAAACCCUGAUGCAGCGACGCCGCGUGGAGGAAGAAGGUCUUCGGAUUGUAAGCUCCUGUUGUUGGGGAAGAUAAUGACGGUACCCAACAAGGAAGUGACGGCUAACUACGUGCCAGCAGCCGCGGUAAAACGUAGGUCACAAGCGUUGUCCGGAAUUACUGGGUGUAAAGGGAGCGCAGGCGGGAAGACAAGUUGGAAGUGAAAUCUAUGGGCUCAACCCAUAAACUGCUUUCAAAACUGUUUUUCUUGAGUAGUGCAGAGGUAGGCGGAAUUCCCGGUGUAGCGGUGGAAUGCGUAGAUAUCGGGAGGAACACCAGUGGCGAAGGCGGCCUACUGGGCACCAACUGACGCUGAGGCUCGAAAGUGUGGGUAGCAAACAGGAUUAGAUACCCUGGUAGUCCACACCGUAAACGAUGAUUACUAGGUGU